This 491-nucleotide unclassified non-coding RNA is filed under the name uncultured Diversispora. Its description in RNAcentral is "bacterial SSU rRNA". It matches the Rfam family "Eukaryotic small subunit ribosomal RNA", at positions 569 to 1062 of the family's 1831-position model. Lineage: Eukaryota; Fungi; Glomeromycota; Glomeromycetes; Diversisporales; Diversisporaceae. The record is from RNAcentral.
AGCAGCCGCGGUAAUUCCAGCUCCAAUAGCGUAUAUUAAAGCUGUUGCAGUUAAAAAGCUCGUAGUUGAACUUCAGGCCUGUCCAGAUGGUCCGCCUUAAUUGGUGUGUACUGUCCUUGGGUGGGUCCUACCUUCUGGCGAAGCGGCAUGGCCUUAGUUGGUUGUGUCGGGGAACCAGGACUUUUACUGUGAAAAAUUAGAGUGUUCAAAGCAGGCAUAUAUGCUCGAAUACAUUAGCAUGGAGUAAUGGAAUAGGACGAUGGUUCUAUUUUGUUGGUUCUAGGACCGUUGUAAUGAUUAAUAGGGAUAGUUGGGGGCAUUAGUAUUCAAUUGUCAGAGGUGAAAUUCUUGGAUUUAUUGAAGACUAACUACUGCGAAAGCACUUGCCAAGGAUGCUUUCAUUAAUCAAGAACGAAAGUUAGGGGAUCGAAGACGAUCAGAUACCGUCGUAGUCUUAACCAUAAACUAUGCCGACUAGGGAUCGGAUGAUG